This 311-nucleotide long non-coding RNA is filed under the name Nicotiana benthamiana. Its description in RNAcentral is "long non-coding RNA (NBEN_LNC012319)". The record is from RNAcentral. Lineage: Eukaryota; Viridiplantae; Streptophyta; Magnoliopsida; Solanales; Solanaceae.
UGUAUUAUAAAUAGGGCUCAUUGUAUCAUGUUUAACAUCAAGUUAUAUUUUCUCCCGUGCUUUCUCACAUGGUAUCAGAGCUGAGCAACAGUGGCUACUUGUGGAGACGUCUGCUUACUUGCUCGAUAUUUAAGGAACUCAUUAUACUCCCUUUCAGAUACAGAAAAUCACUGGUUACCUGUAGGCUCGGUCUGAGCAACAUAAGUAUUUUUUUGUUGGUCGACCAUGUAAAGAAUGGCACACGUCACGAGUGUGACCAAGUUUAUAACAAUAAGAACACUUGGGUCUAGAUCUUCCAAAACGACCUNNNN